GUCCACGCCGUAAACGUUGGGCGCUAGGUGUGGGGCUCUUUCCACGAGUUCCGUGCCGCAGCUAACGCAUUAAGCGCCCCGUCUGGGGAGUACGGCCGCAAGGCUAAAACUCAAAGGAAUUGACGGGGGCCCGCACAAGCGGCGGAGCAUGCGUAUUAAUUCGAUGCAACGCGAAGAACCUUACCAAGGCUUGACAUGGGGCGAAAACUGGCAGAGAUGUCAGGUCCGUAAGGGCGCCUCACAGGUGGUGCAUGGUUGUCGU
Molecule: ribosomal RNA, 262 nt
Filed under: uncultured bacterium
Lineage: Bacteria
Description: partial 16S ribosomal RNA
Rfam family: Bacterial small subunit ribosomal RNA
Source: RNAcentral